Molecule: ribosomal RNA, 467 nt
Filed under: uncultured bacterium
Lineage: Bacteria
Description: partial 16S ribosomal RNA
Rfam family: Bacterial small subunit ribosomal RNA
Source: RNAcentral
GACGAACGCUGGCGGCGUGCUUAACACAUGCAAGUCGAACGGAAAGGCCUCUUUCGGGGGGUACUCGAGUGGCGAACGGGUGAGUAACACGUGAGUAACCUGCCCUUGACUUUGGGAUAACUUCAGGAAACUGGGGCUAAUACCGGAUAGGAGCUCCUGCUGCAUGGUGGGGGUUGGAAAGUUUCGGCGGUUGGGGAUGGACUCGCGGCUUAUCAGCUUGUUGGUGGGGUAGUGGCUUACCAAGGCUUUGACGGGUAGCCGGCCUGAGAGGGUGACCGGCCACAGUGGGACUGAGAUACGGCCCAGACUCCUACGGGAGGCAGCAGUGGGGAAUAUUGCACAAUGGGUGGAAGCCUGAUGCAGCAACGCCGGGUGCGGGAUGACGGCCUUCGGGUUGGAAACCGCUUUCGCUCAUGACGAAGCUUUGUGUGACGGUAGUGGGUAAAGAAGCACCGGCUAACUACGUG